This is a ribosomal RNA of Gorilla gorilla gorilla (western lowland gorilla), 109 nucleotides long. NCBI's taxonomy places the organism in Eukaryota, Metazoa, Chordata, Mammalia, Primates, Hominidae. The record is from Ensembl.
GUCUGUGUCCAUACCACUCUGAAUGCAACCGAUCUCCUCUGAUCUCAGAAGCUAAGCAGAGUUGGGCCUGGUUAGUACUUGGAGAAAUAAUAUUCCGGUCCUCCAAGUU